UGGGGAAUAUUGCACAAUGGAGGGAACUCUGAUGCAGCGACGCCGCAUGAACGAAGAAGGCUUUCGAGUCGUAAAGUUCUUUUAUAUGGGAAGAUAAUGACGGUACCAUAAGAAGAAGCCCCGGCUAACUACGUGCCAGCAGCCGCGGUAAUACGUAGGGGGCUAGCGUUGUCCGGAAUCACUGGGCGUAAAGGGUUCGCAGGCGGAAAUGCAAGUCAGGUGUAAAAGGCAGUAGCUUAACUACUGUAAGCAUUUGAAACUGCAUAUCUUGAGAAGAGUAGAGGUAAGUGGAAUUUUUAGUGUAGCGGUGAAAUGCGUAGAUAUUAAAAAGAAUACCGGUGGCGAAGGCGACUUACUGGGCUCAUUCUGACGCUGAGGAACGAAAGCGUGGGUAGCAAACAGG
This 403-nucleotide ribosomal RNA is filed under the name bacterium. RNAcentral's name for it is "partial 16S ribosomal RNA". It matches the Rfam family "Bacterial small subunit ribosomal RNA", at positions 355 to 776 of the family's 1533-position model. The record is from RNAcentral.